GACUCCAUGGCCCAAUGGACAAGGCGCUGGUCUACGGAACCAGAGGUUCUUGGUUCGAUCCCCAGUCGAGUCG
This is a non-coding RNA of Oryza barthii, 73 nucleotides long. NCBI's taxonomy places the organism in Eukaryota, Viridiplantae, Streptophyta, Magnoliopsida, Poales, Poaceae. The record is from Rfam.